UACGAAGGGUGCAAACGUUGCUCGGAAUUAUUGGGCGUAAAGAGCUCGUAGGCGGUUUGUUGCGUCGGCUGUGAAAUCCCGAGGCUCAACCUCGGGUCUGCAGUCGAUACGAGCAAACUAGAGUGUUGCAGGGGAGACUGGAAUUCCUGGUGUAGCGGUGAAAUGCGUAGAUAUCAGGAGGAACACCGGUGGCGAAGGCGGGUCUCUGGGCAACAACUGACGCUGAGGAGCGAAAGCGUGGGGAGCAAACAGG
RNAcentral lists this ribosomal RNA (253 nucleotides) under uncultured bacterium. Its description in RNAcentral is "partial 16S ribosomal RNA". It matches the Rfam family "Bacterial small subunit ribosomal RNA", at positions 524 to 776 of the family's 1533-position model. The record is from RNAcentral.